This is a non-coding RNA of Vicugna pacos (alpaca), 1361 nucleotides long. Lineage: Eukaryota; Metazoa; Chordata; Mammalia; Artiodactyla; Camelidae. The record is from RefSeq and is a predicted model, not a curated record.
UUUAGAGUAUAAACUCUAAUAUCUUUGGUAUUUAAGUGUCAACAUCGAUUUAUUUAUUUAUUGCUGAGCUGACUGUAACUGACUCAAUAACAAAUCUAAUCAUGUAUUGCACUGGGAAAGAAAUAUUCUUAUUAUGCAUUUUUUCCAAAUGAUGGCCCACCAUUGUAUUUGAAUACACGCUGUAAAUAUCAGUAAUAUCGAGUAAUUACUCUGUAGUGGAGUAAACUAAUUUAUUAGUAUUAAUGUUUAUGUGGCUCCUAACCCCCUCCUUUACAAGGGUUGCAUAUCACAAAUCAAACUACUCAGACACAUUGGUUUAAUGAACUCUUUAUUCAGGAUUUGCUGCAAGAAUUUUCAUGCCCCUUAAAUCCCUGAGAGCUGAAUUUGAAAUUAUUUGUGCGUCUUCAGUUUGACUCAUUUGUCCACUGUGGCUUGUGCAGAGGGCAGUAUUGGUGUAAGAAGGUCUGGUGGGAAGGAAGGUUGUUUGGGAAGGGUAGCUUGAGACCUCCUAAAGCUGGAAAUCACAGUUUCAGGAUUGCUCUGCAGUGAAAAAACUUCUAUUUCCAGGGGUGACCAACAAGGCAAAAUAUUUAUUUCUCCACAGCCUCUCUUUCUUGAAAUCAGAAUAUAAAAGGGAGAAGGAGAGGAGGCCCAACAGCCAAGCUGAGCCCACCCAGCUCAAAGGAAGACCCGAUGGGGGCUAGAGCCGCCCUGGAAGGCCAAGUGCGAGUUGCAUUUUUUGAAGAGUCCAGGACGGGCAAGGCUGUGACAUUGGCCCUGAAGACUGGUCUUCCAUGAGUUGUUCUUUCUCAGGAGCUCCACAGCGCAGGGCCAUUCUCCAGAAAACAGUCUUCAAUGUGUAUUUCCUUCCAUCGUCAACCCAGAGCCCCACGGCAGCUAAUGCAAGAGGCCAAAAAUGUUUGGGAGGAAGAAAAACAAAGGCAGGAAGUGGCGGCGGACUGACGGUGCGUGUGUGUCUGCGGAGAAGGGAGGGAGUCGUUUCAAUCUCAUCUUGUUUUUCCAAACUUCAGGGUCUAGGCAGCUCUCCGCAGGCCGGCCCGCGCUCCCUGCGCUGCUUUUGGAGAUGGCCACCCGGAGAGGAGAAGGCUGGCGCCCGAGCCAGCCUUGUCAGGCGGAAACGACUAACGAGGCGAUUUGCUCAGCAAAGCAGACCAAGCCUUUCUAAACUUCAUUUGAUUUGGCCCUAAAAGUUGGGGGUUGGGGAUUCUGCAGCGCCUCCUGGACCUUCCUAGGCGGGCGGACUGAGUGCACCUUGGCGGAGACUCGUGAGCCCUGUGCUCCACAUGCCUUCCCAGGCGGGAUAUCGAAAUAAAGUGUGUCCAGGUGCUUCUGGCCAGCAC